Molecule: ribosomal RNA, 453 nt
Filed under: uncultured bacterium
Lineage: Bacteria
Description: bacterial SSU rRNA
Rfam family: Bacterial small subunit ribosomal RNA
Source: RNAcentral
AACGAACGCUGGCGGCAGGCUUAACACAUGCAAGUCGAACGGGCACCUUCGGGUGUCAGUGGCAGACGGGUGAGUAACGCGUGGGAACGUACCCUUCGGUUCGGAAUAACCCAGGGAAACUUGGGCUAACACCGGAUACGUCCGCAAGGAGAAAGAUUUAUCGCCGAAGGAUCGGCCCGCGUCGGAUUAGCUAGUUGGUGGGGUAAUGGCCCACCAAGGCGACGAUCCGUAGCUGGUCUGAGAGGAUGANCAGCCACACUGGGACUGAGACACGGCCCAGACUCCUACGGGAGGCAGCAGUGGGGAAUAUUGGACAAUGGGCGAAAGCCUGAUCCAGCCAUGCCGCGUGAGUGAAGAAGGCCUUAGGGUUGUAAAGCUCUUUCAGCGGGGAAGAUAAUGACGGUACCCGCAGAAGAAGUCCCGGCUAAACUUCGUGCCAGCAGCCGCCGUAAC